Molecule: long non-coding RNA, 318 nt
Organism: Gymnogyps californianus (California condor)
Lineage: Eukaryota; Metazoa; Chordata; Aves; Accipitriformes; Cathartidae
Exons: 3
Source: RefSeq, a predicted model, not a curated record
CUUUGUACUGAAAAUAAAACCCGUUACCUGCAGACAGAAACUUGCAGCAAAAAAGGAAGAUAAAGACCAAAAGAGGUUGGAGAGAAUCGGAAGCUUUUGCAAAUGUAUUUUGUUUUCAAAGUUCUCCACAGGGCAUCAGCUCUCUUUAAAACAAAAUAGGUUGUUAUUACUUUUCUUUUCUUCAUCGCUAUCUUGCAACAAAGAACAUUUCUGCUAUUUAACAAAUUUUGUAUUAGACCUGUUUAGGCAAGGCUGCAGCUGCCACUGGAGUUCAAUACCUGCAAACACAUUGCUCUAAGCCUGAAAAGUUGUGUUGAU